RNAcentral lists this ribosomal RNA (581 nucleotides) under uncultured Alteromonadaceae bacterium. RNAcentral's name for it is "bacterial SSU rRNA". It matches the Rfam family "Bacterial small subunit ribosomal RNA", at positions 527 to 1108 of the family's 1533-position model. Lineage: Bacteria; Pseudomonadati; Pseudomonadota; Gammaproteobacteria; Alteromonadales; Alteromonadaceae. The record is from RNAcentral.
GGAGGGUGCGAGCGUUAAUCGGAAUUACUGGGCGUAAAGCGUACGCAGGCGGUUUGUUAAGCGAGAUGUGAAAGCCCCGGGCUCAACCUGGGAACUGCAUUUCGAACUGGCAAACUAGAGUGUGAUAGAGGGUGGUAGAAUUUCAGGUGUAGCGGUGAAAUGCGUAGAGAUCUGAAGGAAUACCGAUGGCGAAGGCAGCCACCUGGGUCAACACUGACGCUCAUGUACGAAAGCGUGGGGAGCAAACAGGAUUAGAUACCCUGGUAGUCCACGCCGUAAACGAUGUCUACUAGAAGCUCGGAACCUCGGUUCUGUUUUUCAAAGCUAACGCAUUAAGUAGACCGCCUGGGGAGUACGGCCGCAAGGUUAAAACUCAAAUGAAUUGACGGGGGCCCGCACAAGCGGUGGAGCAUGUGGUUUAAUUCGAUGCAACGCGAAGAACCUUACCUACACUUGACAUACAGAGAACUUACCAGAGAUGGUUUGGUGCCUUCGGGAGCUCUGAUACAGGUGCUGCAUGGCUGUCGUCAGCUCGUGUUGUGAGAUGUUGGGUUAAGUCCCGCAACGAGCGCAACCCUUAU